Molecule: transfer RNA, 74 nt
Filed under: Leptotrombidium deliense
Lineage: Eukaryota; Metazoa; Arthropoda; Arachnida; Trombidiformes; Trombiculidae
Description: tRNA-Asn for anticodon GUU
Rfam family: tRNA
About the family: Transfer RNA (tRNA) molecules are approximately 80 nucleotides in length.
Source: Rfam by way of RNAcentral
GCCUCCGUGGCGCAAUCGGUUAGCGCGUUUGGCUGUUAACCAAAAGGUUGGUGGUUCAAAUCCACCCGGGGGCU